This 3638-nucleotide long non-coding RNA is filed under the name Nicotiana benthamiana. RNAcentral describes it as "long non-coding RNA (NBEN_LNC006918)". The record is from RNAcentral. Lineage: Eukaryota; Viridiplantae; Streptophyta; Magnoliopsida; Solanales; Solanaceae.
GAAAAAAGUAAUGGACAAAUAGACUAAAAAUAAAAAUCUUUUCGGAUUUUCAAAUACAAAAUAGGAAGUACUAUAACAAAAGACUCGACAAACACUUCAUUAGACUGAUAGACUCGAUACUACUAUGCAAGACUAAUAAUUAAAAGACAACAUAAAAUAGACUAAAAAAUAAAAAGUUUCCUCAACAAGUUCGCAUGUAAUGGUCUUGGCUAGAAUGGUCCUGGGGUAUUUGUCAACCUCAAACUUUAGAAAAUUGAUCCAUACCUGAAUGGGAAAAUAAGAUCAAACAGAGUUAGUGACUAACGACACAUGUGAAGCUACGGUGCCUUCUAUUGGACACAUGCAAUGCAUGAUUAAGGCUAUUAUUGCAAAAUGACCUACGUAGCCAAAAUGUGGCAAUUAGCGCAUACUCAACAAAGAUGAACUCAAAGAUAUGGACAUAUUUCACUAAGGCUUAUAUGUAUUCAGACUCUCAAUAAUCAUGGCCCAAAAUUAAGUUGCAGAAAUGAGCCAUUUUGCAAAAAUGGCCAAUAUGGCCAGAAGUGGCCAAAGAUGCAAACUCAAAAAGGAAGGAUCUUAAAGUAAUAUGACACUUAGUUGUGGACUUAAAUCCUAAAAUAUGGGUAAUUGAACUACUUUUAAUAAUCUCAUUUUGCAAGAAUAGCCGAUUAGGCAAAAAACGGCUAGACAUGUACAUUUAACAGAAAUAGACCUUAGAAUUGAGAGGACACUUUUUUUGUAGACUCAGGGUUCUAAGACACGAGAUAACAAACUACUUUGAUAAAUAGCCCUAUUUUGCAAAAAUGGUCGAUGUGGCCAAAUAUGGCUAUACAUGCAAGAUUUGGCUACGACCACGAAAGCCAUGAACCUAAGACUUACUAAAAAGAUCGGACUCUAUGUGGGCUACAUAGGUAUCCCUCCCUAAAAGACGAGAAUCCUAUUCGCGUAGUUCGGGAAGAUUGGAUAUGGGAAAAAGCUUUAAAAAAAUAACACUAAUUUGGAAAAAACAUAUUUUUUAUCUUUUUGAAAAUGAUGAAAAAUGUAAAAUAUUUUUGGAUUUUUUCUCUAUUUCUUUGAAUUUUGAAAAAUGGUGGGAAAGUGUAAAAAAAAUUUGGGUUUUUUUUUAUUUUUAUUUUUGGAAAACUAUGAAAGAAAAAUGUGAGUGGGUCCUAUUUGCUCAUUUUAUAUUUCACCCUCAAAUAUUUUUAUUCUGCCAAAUUUACUUUUUUACCCCUAAAGAGAUGUAGCUUGUAGCACAUAUGGAUGAUUAAAUGUCUUUUAGGGCUAUAAGCCCAUAUUGUCAUAACUUGGUUAGGCAUCCUACAGCAGGACAUGGUGCCUGGGACCGAACCCUGCUAGGUUUAAAUGACAUGAUACAUACAUGCAUUAUCUAAAGGCUGACCUGCGGUUGAGGUUCACAUAACAAGGCAAUUUGGGGCGGCACGUGAUCGAUGGCGGCUGCUCUAGCUGUCCACUCCACGCUCCCACGCCACCCCCCCAAAGACACGGGAGACUCAUAAAAAGGCCGUGUACGCUCAAACAUACUCCGGAAAACUUGUUGCAGAAAGAAGACUCAUGGUUAUGCAAAUGAUGACAAUUUAGAAAGGAGUAACUGCAUAAAGAAAAUAUUAUAAACAAAUAAGCAACUAGAAAAUAAAAUGACAUAAACAAAAUAAAAAAUAAAUAAAGUAAACAAAACACAUAAAAAGCUCAACCGAAUAUCCUAAAAAGAUAAAAAGAUCAAGUACUAGUUCGAACAUGCAACGUCCCCACCGGAGUCGUCAGAGAUGUCACACCCGUUUUUCUAACCUCACUUAACCCUCUUAAAAUAUUAAAAAGAUUCUAUAAAGCUCAAAAGGGUUUUUAAUUAAAAAGUAACAAAAAUUUGUGUUCAAAAGGAUUAACUCAGAGCCGCCACUUGAUUUUUGAUUUUGGUAUGCCAGGUCACCAUUUUUUAAAAAUUUUCCAUUUUGAAACACUUUGAACUCUUAAACUAAGUCUGCACCAGAGAUUUAGGUAAGGGUGUUCAUUUGACUCGGGGAGAGGAUGUUAGGCACUCCCCAAUUUCCGUAAAAGUCACGGUUGCGUACUCGAUCUUGUUGACAUUAAAAAUAUUCAAAUUGAGUCAUAGAAAAGGAAAAUAAACAUAAAAGAGGCUCGAGGUUGUCCCCACCAAAAUGAAAGAAGAUUAAAAAAACUAAAAUUAAAGUUCUAAAUUAUCCUAUGCUACUUCUUCAACGAUGUUCACCAUGGCCUCCAAUUACAGAAUACUACUGGGUAUUUCCCGGGAUAAAAAAUUUACAAAUGCUUUGGGGCAUUCUCUGAACAAAUUUAACUAAGGGAACGAUUCCUAGCCUUGAAACUAACAAAAAUCCUAAGGCUUACCUAUCCAAGUGAAACCGGCCUAAGCAUGCUCCUAGUCGUUCGAUUAAUGAAACAAGAAAGAGAAUAGUAGCAUGAAUUAUUUUGAUCCAGCAAAUACUCUUUCAUUAACUUGUUAAACUCAAAACGUUUAUCCAAAUCUCUCUGAACCAACUUCUGCUCGAACAUCACUGGGACCAAACCCAUACGAGUUUUAACUACAUUAUCCCAUUUGCAUCAUAUUUUCAUGAAAUCAAUUAAGGGGGUUUAACUAGUUAAUAGAUACAAAGAAUACAAACCAUAAAAGUAGACCAAACAGAGAAAUCAAAUUGCAGACAAAUAAUCAAACAUAGAAAACAAUUGGAGUGCAUUACAUCUUCACCCAAUAUCCACAAAAAUAACAAGAAACAUUCAAAAGGCAGAGAAUCAGACCUUUAGCUUUGCUUUUCCAAUUAACGAGAACCUCCAACAUUAGAAAUUCUAUUUGGAUGUAAAAUUUCUAUGGGACAGACUGGAACCUUGACCGCGGACGCGGGCGAACUUCGAAUUCGAACCUCGAACAGACCUCAAAUCGCCGGGAUCCUCAGACUACGAUCUUAACUCUGUUGGCCCAACAUUGCAGCUGCUGAUGCAUCGCCAACAUGUGGUAAGGCAGUAGCACUAGUUGGUAUCGAGAGAAAUGGAGAAGUCAGUAGAAGCUCGGCUGAUUGAAAGGAUCGACGAAGCUUGAAAAUCUUAUGUGUGGCUGAUUUUCGGUGUUCUUUGUGUGUGUUUCUGUUUACCUGGGUGUGUGUUGCGGCUGAAGGAUCCGAAAAAUAGAGGAGGGAUUCAUUUGCCGUGGUAGAGGAUUCAAGAGUAGUUUGCCAUCGAUGAUGAAAUCCGACAGCGACAGUAACGGUCGUAAGUCAAUUAAGAGAGAAGCUUCGUUUGGGUGGUGGAUGGCUAGUCUAGGUUCGAAAUGGAGAGGGUGGAAACAGGUUAAGAAGGAGAAAGGUCAUUGGUUGAGGGCUGGUACUGGCUGUGGUCGUUUGGUAUUUGUGGUGUGUAUUUGAGAGGGGGGAGUUGGUGUGUUUUUGAUGAUGUAGAGAAGCAACCACUGGUAGAGUUAGGUUGGAAUAUGGCCGAUAUCUUGGGAGCUAGGGUGGGAAGCUCUCAGGGUGUUCGACUGAAUGGUUCUCUUGGUUAAGAAGAUGAGUCUUAGGUUAGGGAAAGGUAUAGUGGGCUAAGAAGGGUGUGAGCCAAGGGCACAACUGAAAUGGACUUCAAAAUUGGAUUAU